GCACCGCCAACAGCAGGCAGGCUCGCACAAUGUCACCAUUGACGCGAACGGUACAUGCACCACAAACGCCAUGCUCGCAACCGACAUGCGUUCCGGUAAGGGACAGAUGCUCCCGCAGGAAAUCAGCCAGAUUGAGCCGAGGAAGCACGCUCGCGGACACGCGCUCUCCGUUCACGAUCAGGGAGAUCGGCAUUAGAUCAGUCAUGCGAGCUUUCUCGUUUCGAGAUCGGGCCGGCCGAGCAACGUCACAACGCACUGCUCCAAAAGCUGACGCGCCAGAUAGC
This 284-nucleotide unclassified non-coding RNA is filed under the name Hevea brasiliensis (rubber tree). Lineage: Eukaryota; Viridiplantae; Streptophyta; Magnoliopsida; Malpighiales; Euphorbiaceae. The record is from RNAcentral.